CCUGGUCUGUGGGGGUUUGUAUUUGAGGACUCCAGCCCCAUCUUCAUCCAACUCAUUGUGUGUGUGCAGAGCAGCUCCUAGAAGGAGCUGUGUGCUCCUCCAGCAGCUAAAAACAGCUCCAAACCUGCCCUUGUGAAGCCUGGAGGAGUAAGAGGAUUAAGAGCGAUGUGAAAUUAAAUGCCAGCUUCUCCAGAUAAAGGGGCCAGCUGCAUGCAGCCAAGCACCCGUGCAUCAUCUGCCUGUACCAGUGACCGUGGUGAUUAUUGCCUUCGGUUUCAGCCCAAGACCUAAAGCUGUGAGGGUACGCGGGAGAACAGGAGCUCCUAAAAGCCACUGUCAUGGUUCUCAGGAGCUGCUGGAUGUGUUGCUGUCAGGAACAAAAUUGUUCCAAUGUUCAAAAUGUUGCAGCACGCCCGGUGUUGCACUGAUCCAUCCUGCAGCUCUGUCCCCAGCCCUUGCUGGGACAUCGCUGCUGGGCAGCUGCCCACAGAGCAAAUGGCAGGCUGCGAUGGGGAGAACCAACAUGGGAAGUGGUAGGUGGAAAAUAUCUGCAGGCUGGUGGCUGAGAGCUGGUUUUAAGGACAGAAAAUUCAUGAUGGGUGAGAAAUGUACAAGUUCACUUUGAUUAACCUGGAGUACAGGGGCUCGCUGUGUUGUUCUGUUCUAGCAGCUGGGCUGAUCGUUAUUUCUUAUGACAUUGCCAAAGCUUCCUGAACUGAAAAGGUGCUGGGAACAGAUCUCCCAACCCCGGUCUUUCUGCCAAGCCUCUCUGCAGGUAGCAAAAGCAGAAGCAUGUCCAUCAUAUUCAGUGUCUUGUCUCCCAAAAUAACCAGUAAGUGAUGUUGCACACAGUUCCAGGUGAUGUGACAGCAGGCAAUUACAGCUUCCUGCCUGCACCGCAGCCUCCUCCCUCCUCCUCUCCUUAUACCCUUGCAGUUUCCCUUGCUAAGAACUGUGGCUGUGGAUUUUCUUUAUCCCUCUAAACACAUAAUCCACCCAUGAACCCUGUUGGUCCCUUGCAGCUCAUUCUGACAAAGCAGUGCUCCAUAAGCCUAAUAAUGCUUUCUUUUAAAGAAACAUCUGAUUUUAUCCCUUCUAAUUGUCUUUGCCUGCAAUCUGGGUGGGGUAGGGGGAAAGCUGUAAAUGUAAAGCUGUCAGCUUCUUGGUCUAAGAAGCUGGAUCUUCAAAGUCUUGCCAGAUUCAAGUGCACCUCUCUGAGAGCUGCUGGCAGAGGUGUGAGCACAGCCAUCUGUGUGGGGCAGACCCAGAUGUGUGCCCCACUUGCCUGGGAGAGGCCUUUGUGCAGCUUGCUUUGCUUCCUGGGUGUUUCUGCGGGUGACUUCUUGCCCAGUCCUCCUCCUCCUUUGCCCAAUGGCCCUAAAAUCUGACUUGUUCUAUGACUUUUCAUUUAAAAAAAGAAAUUUUCUUGGAUUUCCAGGCACUGAAGUAACACUGGAAGAAAUUAAACAUUUUGGGGUCUCCUGGGUGGAGUAAUUGCUCUCUGUGCCCUGAAGCUUUUGGGGGGGAAGGGAAGGGUGGAUGACAGUAUCUAAUAAUAAUUCCAUGGUGUCUCUCUUUACUGAUGUCUUGAAGGGUUUGUACAAAAAACAGGGAAGAAAAUCAAAGUGUUGUCAGAACACUGGCUAAGGAAGUGGAGGUUCUUAAAAACGGCAGUGGCCCAAAAGGCAGCAGUAUGACCUGUGGAGGGGAGCUGUGUGUGCUCUGCAGGGCAGUAGCAGCCAGGAUUAGGCACACAGAGAUAACCGAGGAGGACAGCAGCCUGGGCGCGUUAGGAUGACUUGCCCUUUCUGUUGGCCAACUCUUG
Long non-coding RNA from Cygnus olor (mute swan), 1825 nucleotides. RefSeq lists it as uncharacterized. Lineage: Eukaryota; Metazoa; Chordata; Aves; Anseriformes; Anatidae. The record is from RefSeq and is a predicted model, not a curated record. The transcript has 3 exons.